CCGACUAGGUGUAUGAUGAAAUGUCCUUAUGAGUUAUACUUGUUGAUUGGUAUUUAUUUUUCACAUUUAACUACUACAUUUAGAUGUAAGUUUGUUCAAUGACACAUACUCAUUUGCAACACAAAGCAAAGUCAUCGAGGUGAACAAGAAAAAAAACAUCACCUGGCAAAGUGACAAAGAUCACAAAUUUGGCAGUGAUGUCUACCCUAAAUACUUCCAGCAGGGAGGUCUCAUAUGAGGUGCCAAGCUUUGAGCGAGCAAGAAUAUCUCAUUGUUUGGAUGAGGACAGCUGCCUUGCCAUAGUUUAGAAAACUCUAUGGGAGAAUUGAGAGAGACCUCGCAGCCAAUGAACAAAUCUCAAUGACAAUAGAGAACAACUACAACACUUACAGUUUUGAAGGGGAGAAGAGGACCCUUGGAGAUCCAUCGUACUUAUCUUGGAACAAAAACCCAGAUGGACAUUAGUGAAACUUUAAGCUUAUGUUGCAUUCAAAAGUUGGUAAAGUUACAAAUUUAGUUGCUCUAAAUCAAAGUCUGCCAAUCAUGUGCAAACAAUUUUCUUUGAGAAUUCUGUAAUCUGUAACUUCAAUAGAGACCAAAGGAAAUACAA
Molecule: long non-coding RNA, 610 nt
Organism: Zingiber officinale
Lineage: Eukaryota; Viridiplantae; Streptophyta; Magnoliopsida; Zingiberales; Zingiberaceae
Exons: 3
Source: RefSeq, a predicted model, not a curated record